GACGAACGCUGGCGGCGUGCUUAACACAUGCAAGUCGAACGGAAAGGCCUGCUUUCCCUUGUGGAUUGCGGGUACUCGAGUGGCGAACGGGUGAGUAACACGUGAGUGAUCUGCCCCCAACUUGGGUAUAAGCCUGGGAAACUGGGUCUAAUUCCCGAUAGGACUGCAGGGUGGUGCCUGUGGUGGAAAACGAUUUUCUAGUGGUUGGGGAUGAGCUCGCGGCCUAUCAGCUUGUUGGUGGGGUAAUGGCCUACCAAGGCGGCGACGGGUAGCCGGCCUGAGAGGGUGGACGGCCACAUUGGGACUGGGAUACGGCCCAGACUCCUACGGGAGGCAGCAGUGGGGAAUAGUGCACAAUGGGCGGAAGCCUGAUGCAGCGACGCCGCGUGGGGGAUGACGGCCUUCGGGUUGUAAACUCCUUUCGACCGCGAGGAAGCCACCUGGUUGGAAGGGUGGUGACGGUAGUGGUAGAAGAAGCACCGGCUAACUACGUG
RNAcentral lists this ribosomal RNA (494 nucleotides) under uncultured bacterium. RNAcentral's name for it is "partial 16S ribosomal RNA". It matches the Rfam family "Bacterial small subunit ribosomal RNA", at positions 28 to 507 of the family's 1533-position model. The record is from RNAcentral.